RNAcentral lists this ribosomal RNA (327 nucleotides) under uncultured eukaryote. Its description in RNAcentral is "partial 18S ribosomal RNA". It matches the Rfam family "Eukaryotic small subunit ribosomal RNA", at positions 1470 to 1796 of the family's 1831-position model. The record is from RNAcentral.
CCCUUAGAUGUUCUGGGCCGCACGCGCGCUACACUGAUUCAUGCAACAAGUUUUGUCCUUGGCUGAUAGGCCUGGGUAAUCUUUGAACGUGAAUCGUGAUGGGGAUAGAUGAUUGCAAUUAUUCAUCUUCAACGAGGAAUUCCUAGUAAACGCAAGUCAUCAGCUUGCAUUGAUUACGUCCCUGCCCUUUGUACACACCGCCCGUCGCACCUACCGAUUGAAUGGUCCGGUGAAAUCUUCGGAUCUGAGAGAUGUCUGAUUAAUUUCGGACGCCUUUUGGAAAAGUUGUUUAAACCUUACCAUUUAGAGGAAGGUGAAGCCGUAACA